RNAcentral lists this ribosomal RNA (448 nucleotides) under uncultured bacterium. Its description in RNAcentral is "partial 16S ribosomal RNA". It matches the Rfam family "Bacterial small subunit ribosomal RNA", at positions 28 to 507 of the family's 1533-position model. The record is from RNAcentral.
AACGAACGCUGGCGGCAGGCUUAACACAUGCAAGUCGAACGGGGGCUUCGGCCCUAGCGGCGGACGGGUGAGUAACGCGUGGGAACGUGCCCUUCUCUCUGGAAUAGCCCAGGGAAACAGGGCGUAAUGCCGGAUACGCUCACGCGGGAUGGCAGCUCGUGGGGCAAGGUUGAUGGGGGAAGGAUCGGCCCGCGUCGGAUUAGUUCGCGGGUGGUGUAACGGCCGACCAGGUCGUCGAUUCGUAGCUGGUUUGCGAGGAGGACCAGCCACAAUGGGACUGGGACACGGCCCAGACUCCGAGGGGGGGGAGCAGUGGGGAGCCUUGGGCGAGGGAGGCAACCGUGGUCCAGCCGUGCCGCGUAUGCGAGGAAGGCCGUAGGGUUGUAAAGCUCUUUCAGCGGGGAAGAGAAUGACGGUACCCGCAGAAGAAGCACCGGCUAACUCCGUG